CUUACACAUGCAAGUCGAGGGGUAGUUAUCUUCGGAUAAUGAGACCGGCGCACGGGUGCGUAACGCGUAUACAAUCUACCUUUUACAGAGGGAUAGCCCAGAGAAAUUUGGAUUAAUACCUCAUAGUAUUUUUGAAUCGCAUGAUUUGAUUAUUAAAGUUCCAACGGUAAAAGAUGAGUAUGCGUCCCAUUAGCUAGAUGGUAAGGUAACGGCUUACCAUGGCUACGAUGGGUAGGGGUCCUGAGAGGGAGAUCCCCCACACUGGUACUGAGACACGGACCAGACUCCUACGGGAGGCAGCAGUGGGGAAUAUUGGACAAUGGGCGCAAGCCUGAUCCAGCCAUGCCGCGUGUGUGAAGAAGGCCUUCGGGUUGUAAAGCACUUUCAGCGAGGAGGAAGGGUUGGUAGUUAGUAGCUGCUAAUUUUGACGUUACUCGCAGAAGAAGCACCGGCUAACUCUGUGCCAGCAGCCGCGGUAAUACAGAGGGUGCAAGCGUUAAUCGGAAUUACUGGGCGUAAAGCGCACGCAGGCGGUUGGUUAAGUCAGAUGUGAAAGCCCCGGGCUCAACCUGGGAAUUGCAUUUGAAACUGGCCAACUAGAGUAUGUGAGAGGGGGGUAGAAUUCCAAGUGUAGCGGUGAAAUGCGUAGAGAUUUGGAGGAAUACCAGUGGCGAAGGCGGCCCCCUGGCACAAUACUGACGCUCAGGUGCGAAAGCGUGGGGAGCAAACAGGAUUAGAUACCCUGGUAGUCCACGCCGUAAACGAUGUCUACUAGCUGUUCGUGGUCUUGUACUGUGAGUAGCGCAGCUAACGCACUAAGUAGACCGCCUGGGGAGUACGGUCGCAAGAUUAAAACUCAAAUGAAUUGACGGGGGCCCGCACAAGCGGUGGAGCAUAUGGUUUAAUUCGGCGCAACGCGAAGAACCUUACCUACUCUUGACAUCUACGGAAGUUUGCAGAGAUGCAGAUGUGCCUUCGGGAAC
Molecule: ribosomal RNA, 983 nt
Filed under: uncultured bacterium
Lineage: Bacteria
Description: bacterial SSU rRNA
Rfam family: Bacterial small subunit ribosomal RNA
Source: RNAcentral